RNAcentral lists this long non-coding RNA (527 nucleotides) under Zostera marina. RNAcentral's name for it is "long non-coding RNA (ZMAR_LNC005299)". Lineage: Eukaryota; Viridiplantae; Streptophyta; Magnoliopsida; Alismatales; Zosteraceae. The record is from RNAcentral.
CUUGCACCAUGUUCCGGAACCGCAUCUAUAAUUCACCGACAUCGAUCCAGAUUACGCAGAGAAAAACAAGAAAGAGUGUCCUUUUGAAGGUGGAGACUUUAACGUGGCGCAAUUAGAUCAAACGACACCUUUGGUGUUUGAUAACCAAUACUACAAGAACUUGAUGGAGAGGCGCGUUUUGCUCGAUUCCGAUCAGGUACUCUUCAGCAACGACACCCAGGAUGAUCUUGUCACCACAUACAGUAAGGAUCAAGAUGCAUUCUUUAAGGAUUUUGCCCAAGCCAUGGUCAAGCUGUCUAAUUUGAGUCCUUUGACUGGCGAUCAAGGAGAGAUCAGGACCAACUGCAGAUCGUCAAACUCGGAACCUGAACAACCAUUAACGGAUUAACCGAUCCCAGCAUAUUUCGAUGUAUAAAAUAAAUGUAACCAAGUUAGAUGUAUUUGUAUUAUUACGACUACUAUCUAUUCUCCAUUCGAACAUCACAAUUAUAAUAUAUAACAUGCUCAUUAAUUUUUGUGAGAACAGA